Molecule: long non-coding RNA, 1151 nt
Organism: Pieris brassicae (large cabbage white)
Lineage: Eukaryota; Metazoa; Arthropoda; Insecta; Lepidoptera; Pieridae
Exons: 6
Source: RefSeq, a predicted model, not a curated record
ACCGGAUGAGCACACGCAUCCACUGUAUAGAUUUUUACCUUACUUUAGUUCAAUUCUACGACGACGUAAUUAGUUACCGAAUUAGUAAUUUAUUAAUAGGACUUCUUGAAACUUUCAACCAUGGAACAGGGAUUAUGGGUUUUAGUAGAGUGGGUGGAUGAUGAUUCACAAGACACAAAAGAUUUUUCAAGUUAUAGCGUGGUAAAUGUGGCUUUGAUAGACAGCAAUGAGAUAAGUGAGGGGAAGAUUGUUCUAGUUAGAGAUGGUGUUAAGGGAAAACCGAGGAGAGGACAAGUACAUAAGACUUCAGAAGUGAAAAGCUAUUUAGAAGAAUUGUUGGGUGUUUUUUUGGGACGAGACAAAAGGUUACAACAUCUGUUACCACUUGGUACGGACACGAACGAAAUAGAAAAGCCAGAGGAAAUGAUCCUACCUCUAAUCAGUGAAAGUGACUUCAUGCAAGAUGAUUAUACAGGACAACAGUGACAGGGAAGUCCAUCUCAUCCCUAGAGUAUUUCUUCGACAACAGUGCUAGUGAUUCUGACGCUGAGAUAUAUAAAUUAUAAUUUUGCCGCACCCCAAAACGACCAAAGUGGUAAUGCCGUGCAAGAAACAAAUGACAAUCAUUCUAAUAACACACCAACCAAUCCAGAGACAACGCCUCAAACUGAGACAAGUCGCCAGGCAUCACAAGAACCGAUACUAGUAAUACAGAAACUAAUGUAGAGGUUUGUAACUAUAUAUACAUUACAUACAUUUUUCCGCGAUAACCAUUUCUGUAAAGGAUAAAGUACACUGAAAAUCUCUUCUACUACUUUUACUAUGCCAUGACAUUGAAGCAUACGAAUGCCUCAAUACAAAUUAUUUGCCAAGUGUACAUCUGGAUAAAAUUUUAAUUUUACAAAAUUGUAUCGCACCUUCUCAGACAUUUGGAAAUAUGUAUAUUUCAAAUGAGAACAUAGGACUGUACACUGUUAACAAAAGACUGAUUUAAAAAAUGUUCAUAUAUAAGUACUUUAAUUGAAUAGCAUAACAAUAACAUCGACUUUACAUACUUUUUGGUGGAAAGGGAAUUUUCGAUCCCUGUUGCUGUAUAUGGCUUAUACGGAUAAGAUUUCCAUACUUAGCAGAGGCAUGUUUCUACAAAUAAU